GCUCACAUAGCUCAUCAUUUAUAGACUCUGUUUACAUGCUAGAAAGCGGUUUAACUUUCCAAGGUCUCUGCAAGUUGAAAAGCCAGCAUUGCCCUUUUCAUAAUGUACUGAUUAUAUAAAGAUGCGUGGAAUUAUAGAGAGGUCACAUGCUAAUCACUCCGGUGACCUGCAGCCAUGGUACUGCGAACAAGACACUGAUAAUACUGAAAUAAUUAUGUCUUAGAUGGUGAAAACAUUUUUUUUAAAUUCGCUGAUGUUUUCAUCAGUUUCUUCCUUAUUCACUUGCAGCCACUUCAUUAGGUACACCCCAAAUAUCUGAUCAGCUAUUCACAUGGUAGCAGCUCAGCACACUUGGUGAUGUGGUUGAGACAACCUGCUGCAGUUCAAACUGGGUAUCGGAACUGGAGAAAAAGGUGAUUUUAGGUGACUUUGAAUGUGGUUGUUGGUGUCAGAAGCUGUGGUCUGAAUAUUUCAGAAACUGCUGAUCUACUGGGAUUUUCCCACAAAACCAUCUCUAGGGUUUAAGAGAAUGGUCCAGAAACAGCAGCCACAAUUCUCUGAAUGAUCCCAGAGGUCAGAGGAGAAUGAAAAAACUGAUUUGAACUGACAGGAAGACAACAUUAACUCAAAAAAAAAUAAAAUAAAAUAAAAAAAAGUUCAUUACAAUGAAGGCAUGUCUGAAAGUACAACACUUCAAACCUUCUCCGGUCAGCUAAGAACAAGAAACUGAGGCCACAAGCGCUCACCAAACUUGGAUGAUAAACUUGGAUUCUCAAAAUCUGCUGCAACAUUCAGAUCGUAAGGUAGAAUUCAGCGUAAACAACAUGAAAGCUUGGAGUCAUAACAGCUCGGGCUGAUGGAGGUGUAAGGGUGUGGCGCACUUUAGGUCUCUUAUUACCAGUUCUUGCUGACCAUGUACUGCCUUUUUGACCAUAUUCUGAUAACUGCUUCCAACAGGAUAAUACGCCAUGUCACAGAGCUAAAAAUACCCCAGAAGUUGUUCCCUGAACACAACAAUGACCUUACUGUACUUAAAUGGUCUCCACAAUCACCAGAUCUAAUUCCAAUAGUGCACUUUUGGGAAUCGCUUCAUGGAAAUCGGCAAAUCUGC
Long non-coding RNA from Astatotilapia calliptera (eastern happy), 1111 nucleotides. Lineage: Eukaryota; Metazoa; Chordata; Actinopteri; Cichliformes; Cichlidae. The record is from Ensembl.